GACCUUUUUCGGGUGCAGCGAACUAGGGCUUUUAGGUCUCAGAUCUUUGAAUAAAAUCGAAAUGGGCAGAGAUUGAAAGGCAAUAAAAUGCUUAAGUUUUCUUUGAGAAGUGGUAGAAAAACAACAAUGUAUUUAUAGGAGAAAGUUAGGGUUUGUGUAGUG
Long non-coding RNA from Lycium ferocissimum, 162 nucleotides. RefSeq lists it as uncharacterized. Lineage: Eukaryota; Viridiplantae; Streptophyta; Magnoliopsida; Solanales; Solanaceae. The record is from RefSeq and is a predicted model, not a curated record. The transcript is spliced from 2 exons.